UACGAAGGGUGCUAGCGUUGUUCGGAAUUACUGGGCGUAAAGCGCGCGUAGGCGGCUUCUCAAGUCAGGGGUGAAAUCCCACAGCUCAACUGUGGAAUUGCCUUUGAAACUGUGAAGCUAGAGUGUCGGAGGGGAUAGCGGAAUUGCUAAUGUAGAGGUGAAAUUCGUAGAUAUUAGCAGGAACACCGGUGGCGAAGGCGGCUAUCUGGACGACAACUGACGCUGAGGCGCGAAAGCGUGGGGAUCAAACAGG
This 253-nucleotide ribosomal RNA is filed under the name uncultured bacterium. Its description in RNAcentral is "partial 16S ribosomal RNA". It matches the Rfam family "Bacterial small subunit ribosomal RNA", at positions 524 to 776 of the family's 1533-position model. The record is from RNAcentral.